CAUUGUUGGAGAGUUUGAUCCUGGCUCAGGACGAACGCUGGCGGCGUGCUUAACACAUGCAAGUCGAACGAUGAAGCCUUCGGGUGGAUUAGUGGCGAACGGGUGAGUAACACGUGGGCAAUCUGCCCUGUACUUUGGGAUAAGCCUUGGAAACGAGGUCUAAUACCGGAUAUGACUGCGCAUCGCAUGGUGUGUGGUGGAAAGCUCCGGCGGUACAGGAUGAGCCCGCGGCCUAUCAGCUUGUUGGUGGGGUAAUGGCCUACCAAGGCGACGACGGGUAGCCGGCCUGAGAGGGUGACCGGCCACACUGGGACUGAGACACG
This 323-nucleotide ribosomal RNA is filed under the name Amycolatopsis xylanica. Its description in RNAcentral is "bacterial SSU rRNA". It matches the Rfam family "Bacterial small subunit ribosomal RNA", at positions 1 to 328 of the family's 1533-position model. Lineage: Bacteria; Bacillati; Actinomycetota; Actinomycetes; Pseudonocardiales; Pseudonocardiaceae. The record is from RNAcentral.